Ooceraea biroi (clonal raider ant) is the source of this 1418-nucleotide long non-coding RNA. RefSeq lists it as uncharacterized. Lineage: Eukaryota; Metazoa; Arthropoda; Insecta; Hymenoptera; Formicidae. The record is from RefSeq and is a predicted model, not a curated record.
CGAGUAGCGAAUAAUUCGCCGCGAAGUGUCGAAUAAUUCGCCACGAAUAGUUUGUGAGUGUCACAUCUGUAUGGUUGCAUGUCAACAAUAGAAAAUCUUGAAAUCUUUGUAAUGGACGACGAGUCGGUUAUAAACUGGACUUGGUAUAACCACCAACUGCAGUGGUUAUUGCAUAUGUACAAUAUGUACAAUAAGCAAAUUAUUAUUAUAUUGUACAGAAAAGAAAAGCUGCUGCAGUUGCAGCUACACUUUUACAUUUGAGAAAAAGUGGAAAAAAAAGAUAUUGUAAAAGAAAUAUUGGAUAGCACCCAUUUUUUAAGAAAGGAAAGUGCAUGGAUUCUUUCAUGCUGUGCUACCUAAACUCGUUUUAGAAGAUUUGAGAUUUAAUAAUUACAUACGCAUGUCUGCAACUCAAUUUGAAAAGUUAACAUUCUUAGUUGGAGCAGACAUAUUCGCUCCUUGCGAAUAUUCGCUACAAGCUGAAACUUUUCAGCGAACAGCGAUUACUCGCUAGCGAACAGCGAAUGAUCACGUGACCUUCAUUCGCGGCAAUUAUUUCGCUGCAUGAAACGGCACCUUCAUGGUAUACCAUGGAAACACUGCUAGAUAUCACCACGGCCUCAUGUUAAAAUCGAGGUAGUAGUACGACUCGACGGCAAAACGUUCGCAACUCUAUUUUCACCAAUUUUCAAUAAAUAGUAUUGUUCAACGACGAGAUGGACUUUCGAAUACAACUCAACAGCGACUCGAGAAAGCUUAUUAUAUAAUAUAUAAUUAUAAAUAUUAUAACAAUUAUUAGAAAGUUUAUGAAAUAUAAAAGUGAUUAUAAUGUUCAAUAAAUGAAACAAAUUUUUCAUUAGUACGAAAAAUUAGUAUUAAAAGUAAGUUUUUUUUAUUUAUCCCACCAACCAAACCGCUCACAAAGAGUCCUGGAACUAAAAGGCGCAUUACGUCAGGACUCUCCGCCGGUUCCACGCUCCCGGCUAAAAAGGGUGAUUUUGUACGAUCUACGUCCCCUGCCCCCAAGAGGUUCGGCCACCACCCCCGCCCACCCGGACUGCGCUCGUCCAAAAUGCCGUGCAUCCCUGUCGAGACCAGGCAGAAUGCCCCACGGGUGGGUCAUGCUGCCGAGUCGGUGACACUAAAACCGCGCCCGAGGAUGGAAGGGUAGGAAACCCGCGGGUCCGAGAACCCCGGCGGGAGGAAGGGAAGGGAAGGGUAGGAGGUCCGCGGGUCCGAGAGCUCCGGCGGGAGGAAGGGAAGGAGGCCCGCGCGGGUCCGAGAGCCCCGGCGGAACAAAAUUACAAUACAUAUUAUUAUUAACAAGUAAUAACAGAAAUAAGAUAAAAGUGUACGCAAGUGUAACAAAGCCAGUAAGCACAGAUACAAUACACACAAAUAUAAUAAAAGCCAAUAAG